RNAcentral lists this ribosomal RNA (446 nucleotides) under uncultured Chloroflexota bacterium. RNAcentral's name for it is "bacterial SSU rRNA". It matches the Rfam family "Bacterial small subunit ribosomal RNA", at positions 927 to 1382 of the family's 1533-position model. Lineage: Bacteria; Bacillati; Chloroflexota. The record is from RNAcentral.
AAGCGGUGGAGCAUGUGGUUUAAUUCGAUGCAACGCGAAGAACCUUACCAAGGCUUGACAUGCCAGAAGUAGGAACUCGAAAGAGAGACCACCUGUAUCCAGUCAGGAACUGGCACAGGUGCUGCAUGGCUGUCGUCAGCUCGUGCCGUGAGGUGUUAGGUUAAGUCCUGCAACGAGCGCAACCCUCGUCGCUAGUUAAAUUUUUCUAGCGAUACUGCCCGUAAAAACGAGGAGGAAGGUGGGGAUGACGUCAAGUCAGCAUGGCCCUUACGCCUUGGGCUACGCACACGCUACAAUGGGUGAUACAACGGGUUGCGAGAGAGCGAUCUGGAGCUAAUCCCUAAAAUCAUCCUCAGUUCGGAUUGCAGGCUGAAACUGCCUGCAUGAAGUUGGAGUUGCUAGUAACCGCAGGUCAGCACACUGCGGUGAAUACGUUCUCGGGCCUU